GAUCAAGUUACCGCUCCUCAACUCACUCCUGAGGAGGAAUUGGAGCGUUGUGCCGCCAAGAUUGCAUCCAAGCUCACUACCAAGGGCCAUCUCAUGACGAAUGUGCUUGGAAGCAUCCGAAAGGGGGUAAGCACUCGUAGACAAUUAGCAAACUAUUGUGAACAUCACACGUUUGUCUCUUGUGUUGAACCCCAAAAGGUCUAUGAGGCGCUCGAGGAUCCAGAUGGGCUUAAUGCCAUGCAUGAAGAACUCAACAACUUUGAGCACAAAAAGGUGUGGAGAUUGGUGCCAAGGCCAAUGGGGAAUCAUAAU
Molecule: ribosomal RNA, 312 nt
Filed under: Triticum aestivum (bread wheat)
Lineage: Eukaryota; Viridiplantae; Streptophyta; Magnoliopsida; Poales; Poaceae
Description: partial small subunit ribosomal RNA
Source: RNAcentral